UUAAUUGUAUUCAAGUUAGGGAGAAAAAUGUUGGUUGCUAAGAGGUUGAGAAUUUUUUUUUUGAAAAAAAGAAAUAAAAUAAAAGAAAAAAAACCUUGAAAAAAAUAGUAAAAAGGUUUUAUGCUAAUAAUUUGUGUAAAAAGGUGUAACAACUGGGCAAUGAGAAAAAGGUAAAUGGAGUUGUGAGUGCUUGAGAAUUUGGGAAGUGAUCUCUCUCAUAUGAUUAGGAAAUAUUUUUGUUUCAAUUACCUUUAGACAUGACCUUUCUUU
RNAcentral lists this long non-coding RNA (270 nucleotides) under Lathyrus oleraceus (garden pea). Its description in RNAcentral is "Pisum sativum (pea) long non-coding RNA (PSAT_LNC008601)". The record is from RNAcentral. Lineage: Eukaryota; Viridiplantae; Streptophyta; Magnoliopsida; Fabales; Fabaceae.